RNAcentral lists this ribosomal RNA (272 nucleotides) under uncultured bacterium. Its description in RNAcentral is "partial 16S ribosomal RNA". It matches the Rfam family "Bacterial small subunit ribosomal RNA", at positions 28 to 297 of the family's 1533-position model. The record is from RNAcentral.
GACGAACGCUGGCGGCGUGCCUAACACACGCAAGUCGAGCGAAUGAAGUUCCUUCGGGAACGGAUUUAGCGGCGGACGGGUGAGUAACACGUGGGCAACCUACCUCAUAGAGGGGAAUAGCCUUCCGAAAGGGAGAUUAAUACCGCAUAAGAUUGUAGUACCGCAUGGUACAGCAAUUAAAGGAGCAAUCCGCUAUGAGAUGGGCCCGCGGCGCAUUAGCUAGUUGGUGAGGUAACGGCUCACCAAGGCGACGAUGCGUAGCCGACCUGAGA